CCAAAUCAUAAGAAAAUUAAGAUGUACUUCAUAAAGAAAUCAUUUUUCUACUUCAGAACAGAAUGUUCAAGGAUUUGAGAAAUAAGUUCCAACUAGAGUAACAUGUUAAAAACAUCAGCCAGAUCAUCUACAGAUGUAAAUAUAAGACAUAAAGGCAAAUCUGAGAAUUAUUAGAAGAAAAUGCCGUGCUUAUUGGCUUGUAGGAGGUAGAGUCAAACUGGGAUUGAUCAAGUGAAGAAGCUGUGUUUAAAGGUAAGAGAGUAUAUCAUUCCAGAGA
RNAcentral lists this long non-coding RNA (277 nucleotides) under Mustela putorius furo (domestic ferret). Its description in RNAcentral is "lncRNA (ENSMPUG00000031256.1)". Lineage: Eukaryota; Metazoa; Chordata; Mammalia; Carnivora; Mustelidae. The record is from RNAcentral.